UACGUAGGUGGCGAGCGUUGUCCGGAAUUAUUGGGCGUAAAGAGCAUGUAGGCGGUUUUUUAAGUCUGGAGUGAAAAUGCGGGGCUCAACCCCGUAUGGCUCUGGAUACUGGAAGACUUGAGUGCAGGAGAGGAAAGGGGAAUUCCCGGUGUAGCGGUGAAAUGCGUAGAUAUUGGGAGGAACACCAGUGGCGAAGGCGCCUUUCUGGACUGUGUCUGACGCUGAGAUGCGAAAGCCAGGGUAGCGAACGGG
Molecule: ribosomal RNA, 252 nt
Filed under: Phascolarctobacterium succinatutens YIT 12067
Lineage: Bacteria; Bacillati; Bacillota; Negativicutes; Acidaminococcales; Acidaminococcaceae
Also listed under: 1 other name
Description: partial 16S ribosomal RNA
Rfam family: Bacterial small subunit ribosomal RNA
Source: RNAcentral